UGAGCUUGAUCCUGGCUCAGAUUGAACGCUGGCGGCAGGCCUAACACAUGCAAGUCGAGCGGAAACGAUGGAAGCUUGCUUCCAGGCGUCGAGCGGCGGACGGGUGAGUAAUGCAUAGGAAUCUGCCCGAUAGUGGGGGAUAACGUGGGGAAACCCACGCUAAUACCGCAUACGUCCUACGGGAGAAAGCAGGGGAUCUUCGGACCUUGCGCUAUCGGAUGAGCCUAUGUCGGAUUAGCUAGUUGGUGAGGUAAUGGCUCACCAAGGCGACGAUCCGUAGCUGGUCUGAGAGGAUGAUCAGCCACACUGGGACUGAGACACGGCCCAGACUCCUACGGGAGGCAGCAGUGGGGAAUAUUGGACAAUGGGGGAAACCCUGAUCCAGCCAUGCCGCGUGUGUGAAGAAGGCCUUCGGGUUGUAAAGCACUUUCAGCGAGGAAGAAGGCCUGAGGGUUAAUACCCUUCAGGAAGGACAUCACUCGCAGAAGAAGCACCGGCUAACUCCGUGCCAGCAGCCGCGGUAAUACGGAGGGUGCGAGCGUUAAUCGGAAUUACUGGGCGUAAAGCGCGCGUAGGUGGCUUGAUAAGCCGGUUGUGAAAGCCCCGGGCUCAACCUGGGAACGGCAUCCGGAACUGUCAGGCUAGAGUGCAGGAGAGGAAGGUAGAAUUCCCGGUGUAGCGGUGAAAUGCGUAGAGAUCGGGAGGAAUACCAGUGGCGAAGGCGGCCUUCUGGACUGACACUGACACUGAGGUGCGAAAGCGUGGGUAGCAAACAGGAUUAGAUACCCUGGUAGUCCACGCCGUAAACGAUGUCGACUAGCCGUUGGGUUCCUUGAGAACUUUGUGGCGCAGUUAACGCGAUAAGUCGACCGCCUGGGGAGUACGGCCGCAAGGUUAAAACUCAAAUGAAUUGACGGGGGCCCGCACAAGCGGUGGAGCAUGUGGUUUAAUUCGAUGCAACGCGAAGAACCUUACCUACCCUUGACAUCGUGCGAACUUGGUAGAGAUACCUUGGUGCCUUCGGGAACGCACAGACAGGUGCUGCAUGGCUGUCGUCAGCUCGUGUUGUGAAAUGUUGGGUUAAGUCCCGUAACGAGCGCAACCCUUGUCCCUAUUUGCCAGCGAUUCGGUCGGGAACUCUAGGGAGACUGCCGGUGACAAACCGGAGGAAGGUGGGGACGACGUCAAGUCAUCAUGGCCCUUACGGGUAGGGCUACACACGUGCUACAAUGGUCGGUACAAAGGGUUGCAAUGCCGCGAGGUGGAGCUAAUCCCAUAAAGCCGAUCUCAGUCCGGAUCGGAGUCUGCAACUCGACUCCGGAAGUCGGAAUCGCUAGUAU
RNAcentral lists this ribosomal RNA (1340 nucleotides) under Halomonas sp. E-090. RNAcentral describes it as "bacterial SSU rRNA". It matches the Rfam family "Bacterial small subunit ribosomal RNA", at positions 1 to 1341 of the family's 1533-position model. The record is from RNAcentral. Lineage: Bacteria; Pseudomonadati; Pseudomonadota; Gammaproteobacteria; Oceanospirillales; Halomonadaceae.